GCUGAGGCAGGAUUGCAAGUUCAAGGACAGCUUCAUCAACAUAGUGAGGCCCUGUCUCAAAAUAAAAUUGAAAAGGGGUGGGGAUAUAGCUCAGUGCUAGGGCCUUGCCUAGCAUGUGCAAGGCCUUGGGUUCAGUCCCCAGUAUCGUAAAAAUGAAUGAAUGAAAUAAAGAAAAAACAGUGUGCAGAGAUUCUCCCUCUUCCUUGGAGAUUAGUGUGCCCAGAUUUCCAAGCUAUAGAAGUUUAGUACUUACUAUACUGAUCUGUUUUGGUUUUUUGUUUGUUUCUGUGGACCUGGGGAUCAAACCCACUGCUUUAUGAUGAGAGACGAGCACUGUACCGCUGAACUACAGCUCCAGUCCUUUACUGAUAUGUUUGUUUGUUUGUACUGGAGAUUAAACCCAGGGCACUGUACAACUGAACUAUAUUCCCAGUUCUUUUUAUUUUGAGACAGGAUCCCUCUAAAUUGCCCUAGCUGGCCCUGAACUUAAGAUCCUCCAGCCUCAGCCUCCCCAGUGGGAGGCCUGCACCACCAUGCCCAGCAUUGUACUGAUCUUUAUAGAAAACAGUGUUUUAUCUUCUAGCUGUAUUUAGCAGUUUGUAUUUCUUCUACUUUUUUGGUGCUGGGGACUCAUCCCCAGCACCUCUCAUGUGUGCUGCCUCUCCAGCCCCUGUUAUAAUUUUUCAAAUAGGCUUCAUGUUUAACAUAGAACUAUAAAUUGAAUAAAAAGCAAAAGUGAAAGCCCUUCUCAUCCACAUCCCACUCUCCAGAUGUUAUGCUUCUCAUUUCAUUUUUAAAGUUCGCCUCCCCCUCUUUUUGCUUCCUCUAAGCAUUUCUGUGAAUUACUCAUGCAGCAAAAGCAUAUAUCUUAAUGGACGGGGAAAGUAGAGACAACAGUGAAAAGCCUGGAUGUUGACUCUAGACUUCAUGAUGAAUGUACAGUUAUAUUCAAUCCAUAUGUGUAUGUAUGUGUGAGAAUGUUUUAAAUAUGAUGACCUCAUAACAAAGCACAUACAUACCUGAUACAUAAUUAAUUGUGAUUAUAACAUAUGAAGAAUUAGAAACUUAAAUUGUGGACUAUUGGAAACUAUCACAUGACCUUUAGGUAUCAUUGGGUUAAAAACAACUCAUAAGAGCUUUUUCACCCUUUUGUUUUAUUAACAGUGUGAGUUGAAAUUGAUAUUUGGCAAAAUGGUGAUGCAUGGUGCAUACUGAGAGCAGUUCUCUUCUUUCACAGAUUAUAUGAAUCUUGGUUUUUUAUGGUUCAUAUA
RNAcentral lists this long non-coding RNA (1271 nucleotides) under Marmota monax (woodchuck). Lineage: Eukaryota; Metazoa; Chordata; Mammalia; Rodentia; Sciuridae. The record is from RNAcentral.